RNAcentral lists this ribosomal RNA (497 nucleotides) under uncultured bacterium. RNAcentral describes it as "partial 16S ribosomal RNA". It matches the Rfam family "Bacterial small subunit ribosomal RNA", at positions 28 to 507 of the family's 1533-position model. The record is from RNAcentral.
GAUGAACGCUGGCGGCGUGCCUAAUACAUGCAAGUCGAGCGCUGAAGGGUGGUACUUGUACCAAUUGGAUGAGCAGCGAACGGGUGAGUAACGCGUGGGGAACCUGCCUUUGAGCGUGGGACAACAUUUGGAAACGAAAGCUAAUACCGCAUAAAAACUUUAAACACAAGUUUCAAGUUUGAAAGAUGCAAUUGCAUCACCUAAAGAUGAUCCCGCGUUGUAUUAGCUAGUUGGUGAGGUAAAGGCCCACCCAGGCGAUGGUACAGAGCCGGCCUGGGAGGGUGGACGGCCACAAUGGGAACGGGGCAACGCCCAAGAUCCUACGGGAGGCAACCGUAGGGGAUCUUCGGCAAUGGGCGGAAGUCUGGCCGAAGCACGGCGGGUGGGUGGAGGAGGUUUUCGGGACGUAAAACUCCGUUGAUUGGGGAGAACGUUAGUGAGAGUGAAAAGCUCAUCAAUUGACGGUAACUACCCAGAAAGGGACGGCUAACUACGUG